This 221-nucleotide unclassified non-coding RNA is filed under the name uncultured Actinomycetes bacterium. Its description in RNAcentral is "uncultured actinobacterium contains 16S-23S intergenic spacer region". Lineage: Bacteria; Bacillati; Actinomycetota; Actinomycetes. The record is from RNAcentral.
UCCGGUUUGGCACCGGCAGUCUCCCUAGAGUUCCCGGCUUUACCCGCUGGCAACUAAGGACAGGGGUUGCGCUCGUUGCGCCACUUAAGGCAACACCUCACGGCACGAGCUGACGACAGCCAUGCACCACCUGUGCGGGCUCCGAGGAGCACCGUAUUUCUACGGUUUCACCCCGCAUGUCAAGCCCAGGUAAGGUGGGGAUGACGUCUCGCAACUAACCA